RNAcentral lists this ribosomal RNA (301 nucleotides) under uncultured bacterium. RNAcentral describes it as "partial 16S ribosomal RNA". It matches the Rfam family "Bacterial small subunit ribosomal RNA", at positions 509 to 807 of the family's 1533-position model. The record is from RNAcentral.
CAGUCGCCGCGGUAAUACGAAGGGUGCAAGCGUUAAUCGGAAUUACUGGGCGUAAAGCGUGCGCAGGCGGUUCGCUAAGACAGAUGUGAAAUCCCCGGGCUUAACCUGGGAACUGCAUUUGUGACUGGCGGGCUAGAGUAUGGCAGAGGGGGGUAGAAUUCCACGUGUAGCAGUGAAGUGCGUAGAGAUGUGGAGGAAUACCGAUGGCGAAGGCAGCCCCCUGGGCCAAUACUGACGCUCAUGCACGAAAGCGUGGGGAGCAAACAGGAUUAGAUACCCCCGUAGUCCCUGUCUCUUAUAC